CCAGACUCCUACGGGAGGCAGCAGUGGGGAAUAUUGGACAAUGGGCGCAAGCCUGAUCCAGCCAUACCGCGUGGGUGAAGAAGGCCUUCGGGUUGUAAAGCCCUUUUGUUGGGGAAGAAAUCCAGCCGGCUAAUACCUGGUUGGGAUGACGGUACCCAAAGAAUAAGCACCGGCUAACUUCGUGCCAGCAGCCGCGGUAAUACGAAGGGUGCAAGCGUUACUCGGAAUUACUGGGCGUAAAGCGUGCGUAGGUGGUUAUUUAAGUCCGUUGUGAAAGCCCUGGGCUCAACCUGGGAACUGCAGUGGAUACUGGAUGACUAGAAUGUGGUAGAGGGUAGCGGAAUUCCUGGUGUAGCAGUGAAAUGCGUAGAGAUCAGGAGGAACAUCCAUGGCGAAGGCAGCUACCUGGACCAACAUUGACACUGAGGCACGAAAGCGUGGGGAGCAAACAGGAUUAGAUACCCUGGUAGUCCACGCCCUAAACGAUGCGAACUGGAUGUUGGGUGCAAUUUGGCACGCAGUAUCGAAGCUAACGCGUUAAGUUCGCCGCCUGGGGAGUACGGUCGCAAGACUGAAACUCAAAGGAAUUGACGGGGGCCCGCACAAG
RNAcentral lists this ribosomal RNA (607 nucleotides) under uncultured bacterium. RNAcentral's name for it is "bacterial SSU rRNA". It matches the Rfam family "Bacterial small subunit ribosomal RNA", at positions 331 to 929 of the family's 1533-position model. The record is from RNAcentral.